GAUUAAGUUAUUAAGGGCGCACGGUGGAUGCCUUGGCACUAGAAGCCGAUGAAGGACGUUACUAACGACGAUAUGCUUUGGGGAGCUGUAAGUAAGCUUUGAUCCAGAGAUUUCCGAAUGGGGAAACCCAGCAUGAGUUAUGUCAUGUUAUCGAUAUGUGAAUACAUAGCAUAUCAGAAGGCACACCCGGAGAACUGAAACAUCUUAGUACCCGGAGGAAGAGAAAGAAAAUUCGAUUCCCUUAGUAGCGGCGAGCGAAACGGGAAGAGCCCAAACCAACAAGCUUGCUUGUUGGGGUUGUAGGACACUCUAUACGGAGUUACAAAGGACGACAUUAGACGAAUCAUCUGGAAAGAUGAAUCAAAGAAGGUAAUAAUCCUGUAGUCGAAAAUGUUGUCUCUCUUGAGUGGAUCCUGAGUACGACGGAGCACGUGAAAUUCCGUCGGAAUCUGGGAGGACCAUCUCCUAAGGCUAAAUACUCUCUAGUGACCGAUAGUGAACCAGUACCGUGAGGGAAAGGUGAAAAGCACCCCGGAAGGGGAGUGAAAUAGAACCUGAAACCGUGUGCUUACAAGUAGUCAGAGCCCGUUAAUGGGUGAUGGCGUGCCUUUUGUAGAAUGAACCGGCGAGUUACGAUUUGAUGCAAGGUUAAGCAGUAAAUGUGGAGCCGUAGCGAAAGCGAGUCUGAAUAGGGCGUUUAGUAUUUGGUCGUAGACCCGAAACCAGGUGAUCUACCCUUGGUCAGGUUGAAGUUCAGGUAACACUGAAUGGAGGACCGAACCGACUUACGUUGAAAAGUGAGCGGAUGAACUGAGGGUAGCGGAGAAAUUCCAAUCGAACCUGGAGAUAGCUGGUUCUCUCCGAAAUAGCUUUAGGGCUAGCCUCAAGUGAUGAUGAUUGGAGGUAGAGCACUGUUUGGACGAGGGGCCCCUCUCGGGUUACCGAAUUCAGACAAACUCCGAAUGCCAAUUAAUUUAACUUGGGAGUCAGAACAUGGGUGAUAAGGUCCG
RNAcentral lists this ribosomal RNA (1010 nucleotides) under Staphylococcus aureus. RNAcentral's name for it is "partial 23S ribosomal RNA". It matches the Rfam family "Bacterial large subunit ribosomal RNA", at positions 1 to 1007 of the family's 2925-position model. The record is from RNAcentral. Lineage: Bacteria; Bacillati; Bacillota; Bacilli; Caryophanales; Staphylococcaceae.